AACGAACGCUGGCGGCAUGCCUAACACAUGCAAGUCGAACAAAGCCUUCGGGCUUAGUGGCGCACGGGUGCGUAACACGUGGGAAUCUGCCCUUUGGUUCGGAAUAACAGUUAGAAAUGACUGCUAAUACCGGAUAAUGACGUAAGUCCAAAGAUUUAUCGCCGAAGGAUGAGCCCGCGUAGGAUUAGGUAGUUGGUGGGGUAAAUGGCCCACCAAGCCGACGAUCCUUAGCUGGUCUGAGAGGAUGAUCAGCCACACUGGGACUGAGACACGGCCCAGACUCCUAGGGAGGCAGCAGUGGGGAAUAUUGGACAAUGGCGAAAGCUGAU
Molecule: ribosomal RNA, 329 nt
Filed under: uncultured bacterium
Lineage: Bacteria
Description: bacterial SSU rRNA
Rfam family: Bacterial small subunit ribosomal RNA
Source: RNAcentral